Molecule: ribosomal RNA, 901 nt
Filed under: bacterium 21a7_large
Lineage: Bacteria
Description: bacterial SSU rRNA
Rfam family: Bacterial small subunit ribosomal RNA
Source: RNAcentral
CAUGCAGUCGAGCGGAACGGCAACAUUGAGUCUUCGGAUGAUUUGUUGGACGUCGAGCGGCGGACGGGUGAGUAAUGCUUAGGAAUUUGCCCAGUCGAGGGGGAUAACUAUUGGAAACGAUAGCUAAUACCGCAUACGCCCUACGGGGGAAAAGAGGGGACCUUCGGGCCUUCUGCGAUUGGAUAAGCCUAAGUGAGAUUAGCUAGUUGGUGAGGUAAUGGCUCACCAAGGCGACGAUCUCUAGCUGGUCUGAGAGGAUGAUCAGCCACACUGGGACUGAGACACGGCCCAGACUCCUACGGGAGGCAGCAGUGGGGAAUAUUGCACAAUGGGCGCAAGCCUGAUGCAGCCAUGCCGCGUGUGUGAAGAAGGCCUUCGGGUUGUAAAGCACUUUCAGCAGUGAGGAAGGCAGUAACGUUAAUAGCGUUGGUGUUUGACGUUAGCUGCAGAAGAAGCACCGGCUAACUCCGUGCCAGCAGCCGCGGUAAUACGGAGGGUGCGAGCGUUAAUCGGAAUUACUGGGCGUAAAGCGCAUGCAGGUGGUUUGUUAAGUCAGAUGUGAAAGCCCUGGGCUCAACCCGGGAAGGUCAUUUGAAACUGGCAAACUAGAGUACUGUAGAGGGGGGUAGAAUUUCAGGUGUAGCGGUGAAAUGCGUAGAGAUCUGAAGGAAUACCAGUGGCGAAGGCGGCCCCCUGGACAGAUACUGACACUCAGAUGCGAAAGCGUGGGGGAGCAAACAGGAUUAGAUACCCUGGNUAGUCCACGCCGUAAACGAUGUCUACUUGGAGGUUGUUCCCUUGAGGAGUGGCUUUCGGAGCUAACGCGUUAAGUAGACCGCCUGGGGAGUACGGUCGCAAGAUUAAAACUCAAAUGAAUUGACGGGGGGCCCGCACAAGCGGU